This 383-nucleotide RNase P RNA is filed under the name Paracoccus chinensis. Its description in RNAcentral is "Bacterial RNase P class A". It matches the Rfam family "Bacterial RNase P class A". Rfam says of the family: Ribonuclease P (RNase P) is a ubiquitous endoribonuclease, found in archaea, bacteria and eukarya as well as chloroplasts and mitochondria. Its best characterised activity is the generation of mature 5'-ends of tRNAs by cleaving the 5'-leader elements of precursor-tRNAs. Cellular RNase Ps are ribonucleoproteins. The record is from RNAcentral. Lineage: Bacteria; Pseudomonadati; Pseudomonadota; Alphaproteobacteria; Rhodobacterales; Paracoccaceae.
GCGGAUGGCCGGAUGACCGCGGGCGGUGUGAGCCGUCCGAGGAAAGUCCGGGCUCCAUGCAGGCAUGGUGCCGGGUAACGCCCGGCGGGGGCAACCCCAGGGAAAGCGCCACAGAGAACAGACCGCCUCCGCUUGCGGGGGCAAGGGUGAAACGGUGGGGCAAGAGCCCACCGCGGGACGGGCAACCGGACCGGCACGGCAAGCCCCACCAGGAGCAAUGCCGAAUAGGGAUCGCGCGCGGGGCUGAGCCCCGCAGGGCUGCCUGCGCCCCAGCAGAUCCGGGUUGGCAGCUAGAGCCCGUCGGCAACGGCGGGACCAGAGGAAUGGUCAUCCACGGGCCGCAAGGCCCCGGACAGAACCCGGCUUACAGGCCAUCCGCGCAU